This is a long non-coding RNA of Ixodes scapularis (black-legged tick), 101 nucleotides long. RefSeq lists it as uncharacterized. The transcript has 3 exons. The record is from RefSeq and is a predicted model, not a curated record. Lineage: Eukaryota; Metazoa; Arthropoda; Arachnida; Ixodida; Ixodidae.
GUUCGAAGUCGUCCAUCGUAUAAUUACGAUUAUGGCUACCCUCAUUCCUACGGUCGCUCCUACAACUACCCCGUGAAAGGUCACAAAACCAAGAAACAAGU